RNAcentral lists this long non-coding RNA (489 nucleotides) under Olea europaea subsp. europaea. The record is from RNAcentral. Lineage: Eukaryota; Viridiplantae; Streptophyta; Magnoliopsida; Lamiales; Oleaceae.
GGUUGAGCUUCAUCUUAUAUUUUCGUAGAGUGACGAACACCUCCUCUAGGUCGGAUAUGUGUUGCUCUACCUUCUUACUCUUUACAACCAUGUUGUCCACAUAGGCAUCGAUGUUCUUCCCUAUCAAAUCGGCGAAGACUUUGUUGAUGAGCCUCUAAUAGGUCGCCCCAGCAUUUUUCAACCCAAAUGGCAUCACCCUAUAGCAAUAUAUAGCUGAAUCAGCCAUGAAUGAGGUUUUCUCUUGGUCUUCUUUGGCCAAAAGAUUUGAUGAUACCCUGAGAAUGCAUCUAAAAAGCUGUACAGCUUAUGUCCGGAUGUACUAUCCACAAGAUUGUCAAUCCUGGGUAGCGGGUAGCUGUCUUUUGGGCACGCCUUAUUGAGAUCUGUGAAGUCGAUGCAGACCUUCCAUUUACCACUGGCCUUCUUAACAAGAACAACGUUAGCGAGCCAAUUGGGGUAUUGGACUUCCCUUAUGAACCCCGCUCUCAC